UGGGGAAUUUUGGACAAUGGGGGAAACCCUGAUCCAGCCAUCCCGCGUGUGCGAUGAAGGCCUUCGGGUUGUAAAGCACUUUUGGCAGGAAAGAAACGUCAUGGGUUAAUACCCCGUGAAACUGACGGUACCUGCAGAAUAAGCACCGGCUAACUACGUGCCAGCAGCCGCGGUAAUACGUAGGGUGCAAGCGUUAAUCGGAAUUACUGUGCGUAAAGCGUGCGCAGGCGGUUCGGAAAGAAAGAUGUGAAAUCCCAGAGCUCAACUUUGGAACUGCAUUUUUAACUACCGGGCUAGAGUGUGUCAGAGGGAGGUGGAAUUCCGCGUGUAGCAGUGAAAUGCGUAGAUAUGCGGAGGAACACCGAUGGCGAAGGCAGCCUCCUGGGAUAACACUGACGCUCAUGCACGAAAGCGUGGGGAGCAAACAGG
Molecule: ribosomal RNA, 429 nt
Filed under: Acidobacteriota bacterium
Lineage: Bacteria; Pseudomonadati; Acidobacteriota
Description: Acidobacteria bacterium partial 16S ribosomal RNA
Rfam family: Bacterial small subunit ribosomal RNA
Source: RNAcentral